Apodemus sylvaticus (European woodmouse) is the source of this 304-nucleotide long non-coding RNA. RefSeq lists it as uncharacterized. NCBI's taxonomy places the organism in Eukaryota, Metazoa, Chordata, Mammalia, Rodentia, Muridae. The record is from RefSeq and is a predicted model, not a curated record. The transcript is spliced from 2 exons.
CGAUUCUCAGCCUGUGGAUCGGGACCCCCUGAGGACCAACCGACUCUUUCACAGGGGUUGCAUAUCAGAUAUCUGGAAUAACAGCAUUAAAAAAACUCCAGGAUUUGGAAGUUCAUCAGAACACAAGUGCUAUCUGAAUGCCCCAGGGGAAAACUACAGUAGUAACAGUUGCUCAUCCAUAAACGGAAGAACUGCUCUGAAUUUUGACAGACAAGUUGCACAGCAAGCAGAAAACCUUCAGAAAUCCUUCAGAAAGACAACACAACAGUAUAAAACGACCAUAAAAAAUAAAGGAGCAACUGUU